Molecule: ribosomal RNA, 253 nt
Filed under: uncultured bacterium
Lineage: Bacteria
Description: partial 16S ribosomal RNA
Rfam family: Bacterial small subunit ribosomal RNA
Source: RNAcentral
GACAGAGGCCUCGAGCGUUAGGCGGAAUCACUGGGCUUAAAGCGUGUGUAGGCGGGCCCGUAAGUGUCUUGUGAAAUCCCACGGCUCAACCGUGGAACUGCUGGGCAUACUGCGGGUCUUGGGCCAACUAGGGGCAGCCGGAACAAGCGGUGGAGCGGUGAAAUGCGUAGAUAUGACAUAGAACACCAAUUGCGAAGGCAGCUCACUACCCAGAUAUUGACACUGAGGCACGAAAGCGUGGGGAUCAAACAGG